Molecule: signal recognition particle RNA, 299 nt
Filed under: Cebus imitator (Panamanian white-faced capuchin)
Lineage: Eukaryota; Metazoa; Chordata; Mammalia; Primates; Cebidae
Description: Metazoan signal recognition particle RNA (ENSCCAG00000000423.1)
Rfam family: Metazoan signal recognition particle RNA
About the family: The signal recognition particle (SRP) is a universally conserved ribonucleoprotein. It is involved in the co-translational targeting of proteins to membranes.
Source: RNAcentral
GCCAGGCAAGGUGGCAUGUGCCUGUAGUCCCAUCUACUCGGGAGGCUGAGGUGGGAGGACUGCUUGAGCCCAGGAGUUCUGGGCUGUAGUGCACUAUGCCGAUCGGGAGUCCACACUAAUUUCGGCAUCAAUAUGGUGGCCUCCCGGGAGCGGGGAACCACCAGGUUGCCUAAGAAAGGGUGGACCGGCCCAGGUCGGAAACAGAGCAGGUCAAAACUCCCAUGCUGAUCAGUAGUGGGAUCACGCCUGUUACUAGCCACUGCACUCCAGCCUGGGCAACAUAGUGAGACCCCAUCUCU